UCAGUUCAGAUCGUAGGCUGCAACUCGCCUACGUGAAGGAGGAAUCGCUAGUAAUCGCAGGUCAGCAUACUGCGGUGAAUACGUUCCCGGGCCUUGUACACACCGCCCGUCACACCAUGGAAGUUGGCCACGCCCGAAGCCGUUACUCCAACCCUUGUGGAGGAGGACGUCGAAGGUGGGGCUGAUGACUGGGGUGAAGUCGUAACAAGGUAGCCGUACCGGAAGGUGCGGCUGGAUCACCUCCUAACAGGGAGACAACACAAUGAUUUUGAUGCCUGAGUACUUUUAUUCUUAGGCCGAAAUCCUGUCACCUUAGGUCGAUCGGUACCUCAGUUUUGAAAUCAAGAAUGAGCAGCAAUGUUGAUUGCUUGAUGGAGAUUUUCAGUUCCUAAACUUUGUCUAGGUCACACCCCAUAAGGGUUGAGUCUUCCUGGGCCAUUAGCUCAGGUGGUUAGAGCGCACCCCUGAUAAGGGUGAGGUCCCUGGUUCAAGUCCAGGAUGGCCCAUUCGGUGUUGGGGGUUUAGCUCAGUUGGUAGAGCGCCUGCUUUGCAAGCAGGAUGUCAGGAGUUCGAGUCUCCUAACCUCCACUGACCGAACUUAAUCUCCAUCUUCUGAAUCAAAGGAAGGUGAACUCGAAGGUGUGUGUGAUUUAGAUGUGUCCGCUGGCAUGAACUCAGCUUCCUGUCAUUCCAAGUGAAGAGUUUUUCUCUGAAUUUGGUUGAUAAGAUGCUGGGCUCGA
RNAcentral lists this unclassified non-coding RNA (740 nucleotides) under uncultured Synechococcus sp. Its description in RNAcentral is "partial contains 16S ribosomal RNA and 16S-23S ribosomal RNA intergenic spacer". The stretch from base 1 to 247 matches the Rfam family "Bacterial small subunit ribosomal RNA", at positions 1288 to 1533 of the family's 1533-position model. Lineage: Bacteria; Bacillati; Cyanobacteriota; Cyanophyceae; Synechococcales; Synechococcaceae. The record is from RNAcentral.